UUAAUUUAGUCAUGAAUUAUAUAUAAAUCAUUUGUUUUUAUUUUUUUAUAGCACAAUUACAAAAUAUUAUUAGAGAUAUGGAGAUCCAGUGGGGACGGUUAGAUGCCGGAAUUGAUAUCAAUCGUCAACGUCGAUCAGUUCAGCGUCAUCAUGACAUCCGCAUUCAGCAUCUUCAAGCAUCUUUAAGAUCUGGAAGAAUUCCUACACGCUGCAGUGAAUCGGGAUCUUCAUGAUUCAAUAUUUUUAAUUUUAAAUGAUAAUCAACGUGAACAGCUACCAAAUAUUGGCAAUAUUGAACAUUUAAACCUCAUUUUGCAGGAUCAUUAAGAAUCUCUCUAUUAUGUGUUAUUUUGUAUUCCAUUUGAUAUUUAU
Microplitis demolitor is the source of this 372-nucleotide long non-coding RNA. RefSeq lists it as uncharacterized. NCBI's taxonomy places the organism in Eukaryota, Metazoa, Arthropoda, Insecta, Hymenoptera, Braconidae. The transcript is spliced from 3 exons. The record is from RefSeq and is a predicted model, not a curated record.